UACGAAGGGGGCUAGCGUUGUUCGGAUUUACUGGGCGUAAAGCGCGCGUAGGCGGGUCACUAAGUCAGGGGUGAAAUCCCGAGGCUUAACCUCGGAACUGCCUUUGAUACUGGUGACCUGGAGAUCGGGAGAGGUUGGUGGAAUUCCGAGUGUAGAGGUGAAAUUCGUAGAUAUUCGGAAGAACACCAGUGGCGAAGGCGGCUCACUGGUCCGGUACUGACGCUGAGGUGCGAAAGCGUGGGGAGCAAACAGG
RNAcentral lists this ribosomal RNA (253 nucleotides) under uncultured bacterium. RNAcentral's name for it is "partial 16S ribosomal RNA". It matches the Rfam family "Bacterial small subunit ribosomal RNA", at positions 524 to 776 of the family's 1533-position model. The record is from RNAcentral.